GAUGAACGCUAGCGAUAGGCCUAACACAUGCAAGUCGAGGGGCAUCACAUGAAGUAGCAAUACGGAUGGUGGCGACCGGCGCACGGGUGAGUAACACGUAUGCAACCUGCCUUCAACAAGGGGAUAACCCGUUGAAAGACGGACUAAUACCCUAUAACACAGGGGUCCCGCAUGGGAAUAUUUGUUAAAGGACAACCGGUUGAAGAUGGGCAUGCGUUCCAUUAGCUAGUUGGCGGGGUAACGGCCCACCAAGGCAACGAUGGAUAGGGGAACUGAGAGGUUUAUCCCCCACACUGGUACUGAGACACGGACCAGACUCCUACGGGAGGCAGCAGUGAGGAAUAUUGGUCAAUGGACGGAAGUCUGAACCAGCCAUGCCGCGUGAAGGAUGAAGGCGUUCUGCGUUGUAAACUUCUUUUAUACGGGAAUAAAGUUGCCCCACGCGUGGGGUUUUGCAUGUACCGUAUGAAUAAGGAUCGGCUAACUCCGUGCCAGCAGCCGCGGUAA
Molecule: ribosomal RNA, 507 nt
Filed under: uncultured bacterium
Lineage: Bacteria
Description: bacterial SSU rRNA
Rfam family: Bacterial small subunit ribosomal RNA
Source: RNAcentral